UGCAUCGGCCGGGAAUUGAACCCUGGCCGCCCGCGUGGCAGGCGAGAAUUCUACCACUGAACCACCGAUGC
This 71-nucleotide transfer RNA is filed under the name Cordylochernes scorpioides. Its description in RNAcentral is "tRNA-Gly". The record is from RNAcentral. Lineage: Eukaryota; Metazoa; Arthropoda; Arachnida; Pseudoscorpiones; Chernetidae.